This is a long non-coding RNA of Nerophis lumbriciformis (worm pipefish), 1284 nucleotides long. RefSeq lists it as uncharacterized. NCBI's taxonomy places the organism in Eukaryota, Metazoa, Chordata, Actinopteri, Syngnathiformes, Syngnathidae. The record is from RefSeq and is a predicted model, not a curated record.
AUGGCGCCGCUGAAUUGGCAGUUGGUUGCAUAUCACUUGCAUAUCAUGCGUUACAUACUGUACAUUACCUAUUGCACUAUAUUGAUUUAUAUUAUUAUGUGUUGUCAACUUUGUACUUUUUUUCAUGUGAUUGCCUGAAAUAAAAAUAAAUAAAUAAAAAAAUAAAUAAAAAUAAAAUACAAAUAAAAUUACAGAUACAAAAUUUUCAAGACAGAAAUCAUAUUAGAAAGUAUCCAGUAACAAACGUGUCCGCAUCAAGACAAUUUGUUUUAUCCAAGUUUUUGCACGUUUAUCGUGUUUUGUUUACUUUCUCAAAUAAAGCCCAAGUGUCAAAGCCGUUUUAAACUGGAGAUAUGGAACACUUUUCGUUCCUAUUUUUGUCACCUUUUCAUAUGCUCUUUGGAGUUUAUCUGGAAUAUAAACAUAACUGUUGAACACAAUGGCUUGAACUGAAUUGGAGUCGUCAAUUUGUAUGUGAUUAUUUAUUGCUACACAUUCUCACUUUGAUUCAAACUAAAUAAUUAUGGGACGAUGACAGCAAAAUGUAUUUGAUUUUUUUAAAUAAAUGACAGAUUUGGAUUAAAAAGAAAAAAAUAAAUGUCAUAUUUUAUAUUAAAAAAAAGUCGGCCCUAAACAACUGACUUAUUUAUUGGUCAUUUUUGGGGGGUUUUCCUUUUACUUUUGUAGCUGUAUGUUGAAAUGGCGCCAUCAGCUCUGUCGCUCUUUUAAUGUCUUUUAUGUACUUUGUUUUCCUUGAUGUUUUCCUCUUGUUUUUUUUUUUUGUCUUUUUACAUUUUUUGUGGACUUUUUGUAUCUGCCGUGCAACCACAUAAUUGGUAUAAAUAUAAAUAAAUAAAUAAAGUGGGAUAGGCUCCAGCACCCCGGUUGGAAAUGGAUGGGUAAAGUCUGUUGUAUCCGAGCGAACUACACAAAAUAGCCACUAGAGGGCACUUAAAAAAAAAACAAUGAUGAGGAUAGCAUCACGUUGAAGGGGUCUUUUGCAGUUAGGAGUUUUUAUUUCACUUUCACGUCACAUUUGACCUGCUGCUCACCGAAAAGUAAUUCUUCUUGACACGUGGCAGACAGUGCGCCAUGCAGACCCACUCCUGCUGAAUAUUGAUAUGACGAGGUUUGACAUGUUUGGGCUGCGUCUGACCUUACUGCUCUGGAUCGGAGGAACAUCCAGCACGCAAGGUGAGGUCAUAUCUUCCCCCACUAUACAUGCGGAGGCGGGCAAACCUGUCCUGUUAGGCUGCAACGUGACGACGACCACGGGGGACAGCG